CUUCUCACUGAACAUGACUUGCGUUACAUGAACCGACGUCACGCCGCACUGAGAGAAUCAUCCUCACUAUACGACACAGUUUUCAAAGGGAGACUUUUUUUUUUUUUUAGUUUUAGUGUCGUUGUAGUUUCUAAGCAACAGAAAUCCGGGUACGAAGAGUUCGAUGAAGCAGCAGACGGCUUCACGAGGAACGAGCGACUUCAUCUCAAGUUGAACAACAAGUAUCAUUGCAGCUACAGAUUCGACGGGCACAACUUGAGAGCAACUGGUCUCAGAGCUUCUGAAUACAUAAAUAUGGACUCCGCCCAAGUCUGAAAUGUUAACACGCUGAUCCGUCCGCAUCCACUGUUUUCAACGUGAGCAAGAUGGCCGCUGCUGGGAGAAGGCCCUCGCGGUCGGCGCGCCAUGUGACCACGGCAACCACAGAAAACCUCAGCAAAGGAACCGAUACAGGAGCCGGAUAUCACAAUGACUUGGCCUCGGAUUCCCUGUGCGGUUGCAAAUUCCCAACGAGGACACUGAAGUCAAUGCCCAUCCAAUUACUUCGUUCUAAAGUAUGUAAAAUCAUGCAACGGUGAGGAAAGGAAGGAUUAGGCUACGGCUCGACUAUAGCAUGAGGUUCUCUUUCCUUCCAAAGACUCUGAAUGUCAAAUCUUUUUUUUUCUUUUGUGUGUGUGUGUGUGUUGUUUAAUUAGAGAAUGCUUAUCAUAGACGCAUGGCGCGCUACUGAGAGGUGACAGCACCCCAGUGUUGUAAAAUUAAUUAUAUCACUAAUGUGGACCCUGUGCAUGUGAAAUAGCUGAACUCUCCCCAAAUAGCUCAUUAAUCUUCAGACAGCCACUCCUGGACUAGGUGAAGUGGUCUUGAAUUUCAAUACCCAUCCUUGCUGGUUGUAACCUUUCCCUCCUCUCGCUCGAGCAGCCGAUGGGGGAACAGGAGCAUUGGAGAGAGAAUAAUAUUGUCUGCAGCGGUAUCUCUAGCACUUCUCUCUGUGAGUCAUAUAAUUACACACACCUACGCAGUUUUCCUAAACACACACACACUCUCUCUCACACACACACACUUGCGCAAAACCAGGCUUAGAGUUUAAAGUGGAGUACGCCCGAGAAGUGCUGAUGUAUCCUAUGAUUAUUAAAAAAAGAAAAAAUACUGCCCGCCGCACUAGCAUAAACAAAUCACUUGAAAUGAAAUUUUUCAGGUAAUAAAAGUGCGUUCUUGAAAAAGACCAAACUGGACCCCACUGGUUCUUAUCCGUUUUUAGCCGUCGCAGCAAAAGUAUGCAGGAAAUUAAAGUUCUCGAUUUAAAGAUUUGUUUGAUACACUGCAAACCUUUCCACUUGUUAUUAAAGCCCUCCAGAGAUUUUUAUCGUAUCACAUGAUCAUUAGUGGAUGGAAUGGAGUUUUUAUCUGGAACCUUUUUCUUACUCCUGCAUUAGAGCAUCGCAAGCAGGAAUAGCAAGAGAGAGCAAUAAGAGGACUGUGAAGAUUAAAGCGUCAGCGAAAUUUUGGUUGCCAGGUGAAACUAAAGAAUGAUAGAUCCUAAAUUUCCCACAGUGCAACGUUUACAGUGUUUUUUAUCACUUUCCACGCUUGGUUAAUACCAACAUCCAUCAGUUCCCAAAACAUCAGCAGUUCCGGAUGAUGUAAAGAAAAACAAAUUAUGUCAGUCAGUUCGACCUUAAACAACCGCUUUAUUACUGGAUGAACUUUGUGUGUAAAAUCAAUGCGGUGCUGUUUUAUCAAAUGGCUAUUUUUUACCUCCCAAA
This is a non-coding RNA of Gasterosteus aculeatus aculeatus (three-spined stickleback), 1766 nucleotides long. The record is from RefSeq and is a predicted model, not a curated record. NCBI's taxonomy places the organism in Eukaryota, Metazoa, Chordata, Actinopteri, Perciformes, Gasterosteidae.